RNAcentral lists this ribosomal RNA (465 nucleotides) under uncultured bacterium. RNAcentral describes it as "partial 16S ribosomal RNA". It matches the Rfam family "Bacterial small subunit ribosomal RNA", at positions 338 to 795 of the family's 1533-position model. The record is from RNAcentral.
CCUACGGGUGGCAGCAGUAGGGAAUCUUCCACAAUGGACGAAAGUCUGAUGGUGCAACGCCGCGUGAGUGAAGAAGGGUUUCGGCUCGUAAAGCUCUGUUGGUAGUGAAGAAAGAUAGAGGUAGUGACUCGCCUUUAUUUGACGGUAAUUACUUAGAAAGUCACGGCUAACUACGUGCCAGCAGCCGCGGUAAUACGUAGGUGGCAAGCGUUGUCCGGAUUUAUUGGGCGUAAAGCGAGUGCAGGCGGUUCAAUAAGUCUGAUGUGAAAGCCUUCGGCUCAACCGGGGAAUUGCAUCAGAAACUGUUGAACUUGAGUGCAGAAGCGGAAGGUGGAACUUAAGGUGUAGCGGUGGAAUGCGUAGAUAUAUGGAAGAACACCAGUGGCGAAGGCGGCUCGCUGGGCUGCAACUGACGCUGAGGCUCGAAAGCAUGGGUAGCGAACAGGAUUAGAUACCCUUGUAGUC